Long non-coding RNA from Lucilia sericata (common green bottle fly), 306 nucleotides. RefSeq lists it as uncharacterized. The record is from RefSeq and is a predicted model, not a curated record. NCBI's taxonomy places the organism in Eukaryota, Metazoa, Arthropoda, Insecta, Diptera, Calliphoridae. The transcript is spliced from 3 exons.
GCAAAUUGAGUGAUCAAAGUCUUUAUCCGAGAUGUUAAAAUUAUAUCCUGAAUACAUAAAACCUUCCAUUGACAUAGAUUUUGAUCUGAAGCUAAAAAAAUGAAAGCUAAGUGGGUAUUUACGGAAAAUGAGUAAUUUGUUACAUCUGCUUCAGACUAAAGUACCAAAGGUUUCUGUUACAACAAUGCUGAAAAAUUUGAAGCCGUGCAAUGAUGAAUCAAGGAUAUUUUCUAUUCUAUAUUUCCUACACUACUUGUUUCCACCUCAGCAGAAAUUAGUUACUGACAAAGCCGGAGACUAAACCAG